GGCCUGGUCGGGCGGUCUGCCUCACGGUAUGUACUGUCUGACUGGGUCUUACCUCUUGGUGAGCCUGCAUGCCCUUCACUGGGUGUGUAGGGGAACCAGGACUUUUACCUUGAGAAAAUUAGAGUGUUCAAAGCAGGCCUAUGCCCGAAUACAUUAGCAUGGAAUAAUAGAAUAGGACUU
This 180-nucleotide ribosomal RNA is filed under the name uncultured Glomeromycotina. RNAcentral's name for it is "partial small subunit ribosomal RNA". Lineage: Eukaryota; Fungi; Glomeromycota. The record is from RNAcentral.